UGGGGAAUCUUGCGCAAUGGGCGAAAGCCUGACGCAGCAACGCCGCGUGCGGGAAGAAGGCUUUCGGGCUGUAAACCGCUUUCAGCAGGAACGAAAAUGACGGUACCACCAGAAGCAGCCCCGGCUAACUCCGUGCCAGCAGCCGCGGUAAUACGGAGGGGGCUAGCGUUGUUCGGAAUGACUGGGCGUAAAGCGCGCGUAGGCGGAUCGGAAAGUUGGGGGUGAAAUCCCGGGGCUCAACCUCGGAAU
RNAcentral lists this ribosomal RNA (249 nucleotides) under uncultured Hyphomicrobiaceae bacterium. Its description in RNAcentral is "partial 16S ribosomal RNA". It matches the Rfam family "Bacterial small subunit ribosomal RNA", at positions 355 to 621 of the family's 1533-position model. Lineage: Bacteria; Pseudomonadati; Pseudomonadota; Alphaproteobacteria; Hyphomicrobiales; Hyphomicrobiaceae. The record is from RNAcentral.